RNAcentral lists this long non-coding RNA (463 nucleotides) under Citrus sinensis (sweet orange). RNAcentral describes it as "long non-coding RNA (CSIN_LNC003939)". Lineage: Eukaryota; Viridiplantae; Streptophyta; Magnoliopsida; Sapindales; Rutaceae. The record is from RNAcentral.
CUGAAUUUAUUGCCCCGCACAAGGAUAUAAGAUCCGUGCUCCCUUCUCCUUUGAAUCGAAGGCCUCUUCAAAUUCCUUAAUGUAGGGUCGUUGCUUGCUUUUUCUUUUUAGGUGGUCUUCCCUUGCCCUUCCCCUCAGCGGAUUUGGAGCCCCCCCCUUACUCAACCUCUAUAAAAAGGCCCUUUCCCCUUUUCAUAAUAAUAAGGUCAGCUCCAGAACCGGCGGAAUUGCCCAAUCCUAUCUUUCCUUUCCUUGAAGUAAGCCCCGAGCGGGAGCAACUUCUACAGCAAAUUCAGACUAAACUGGAUCUCUUCUCUUGGCAGGGGGGGUUUAGGAGGUAUUUUUGAGCGCAUGUUGAUCAUUUCGAAAAAGCUGGUUUCGUCUCAUUUUCCGGAAAGCCAGUCAUACUAUUCCACUUUAGCUAAGCUAAUGAUGAAAGAGGAUCUGGAUUUGUCUGCAGAUC